AUUGAACGCUGGCGGCAGGCUUAACGCAUGCAAGUCGAGCGGGGUGAUGGUGCUUGCACUAUCACUUAGCGGCGAACGGGUGAGUAAUGCUUAGGAAUCUGCCUAUUAGUGGGGGACAACAUCUCGAAAGGGAUGCUAAUACCGCAUACGUCCUACGGGAGAAAGCAGGGGAUCACUUGUGACCUUGCGCUAAUAGAUGAGCCUAAGUCGGAUUAGCUAGUUGGUGGGGUAAAGGCCUACCAAGGCGACGAUCUGUAGCGGGUCUGAGAGGGUGAUCCGCCACACUGGGACGGAGACACGGCCCAGACUCCUACGGGAGGCAGCAGUGGGGAAUAUUGGACAAUGGGGGGAACCCUGAUCCAGCCAUGCCGCGUGUGUGAAGAAGGCCUUAUGGUUGUAAAGCACUUUAAGCGAGGAGGAGGCUCUUUUGGUUAAUACCCAAGAUGAGUGGACGUUACUCGCAGAAUAAGCACCGGCUAACUCUGUGCCAGCCGCCGCGGUAA
Molecule: ribosomal RNA, 503 nt
Filed under: uncultured bacterium
Lineage: Bacteria
Description: partial 16S ribosomal RNA
Rfam family: Bacterial small subunit ribosomal RNA
Source: RNAcentral